GACAGACACACGGAGCAGGAGGAGCAGGCUGCGCCUCCAGCAAGGGACUGCAUGGCUCGUCCCAGCAGAGGACUUGGAAUGUGAAUCAAGGAAAGAAAACCAGUGCAGUGCCACUCUUGGCCCUGGGCCAGCCUGGUUUGAGCCCUGGAGCAGCACAAAGCCCUGGAGAGAGCCCUUGAGGGAGAAGAACCGGGAGGAGCAGCCCAGGCUGGGCCAGGGAGCAGUGACACCCCCGGGGGCUGGCAGGGGGCUGGGGCAGCCCCUGGGCAAACUCACCCUGCAGGAGGCGCUGGCCCUGCACCGCCCCGAUUUCAUCUCGCGCUCGGGGCAGCGCCUGCGGCACCUGCGGCUGCUCCGCGAGGAGAGGAG
Molecule: non-coding RNA, 369 nt
Organism: Agelaius phoeniceus (red-winged blackbird)
Lineage: Eukaryota; Metazoa; Chordata; Aves; Passeriformes; Icteridae
Source: RefSeq, a predicted model, not a curated record